AACAAAUCAACUGGAGCAAAGGCAGAUUUCGUUUUUCUCAUUCAAUGGAAGGAAAUGUGACUGUUUCAAAUUUAACCUCUGACAGACUGACAAUAGAUCUAUCCUCAAAGCUGAUUAUUUCUAAUGCUCAGGAAGAUGAUGAAGGACUAUAUACAUGUCAUUUAACUGAAUCUUCAGGGUCAACGACUUAUCGGUGGAAUUUAACCGUGUCUGACAAACCUGAAGAGGAGAAGCCAUCAGGGUAUUUCCUAUACAUACUCACAGCUGGGAUCGGAGUGGUACUGUGUUGCAUCAUUUCAGCCACAUGCCUCUGUAGGAAAUGUAAGGCCAAGACAGCAGACCAGAACCCAGUCCAGGAC
Molecule: non-coding RNA, 359 nt
Organism: Labrus bergylta (ballan wrasse)
Lineage: Eukaryota; Metazoa; Chordata; Actinopteri; Labriformes; Labridae
Source: RefSeq, a predicted model, not a curated record